UCAUGGAUAGUGAAAUUGUUGAGGAGUUGUCUCUUUAAACCAUGUAAUGCAAUCUUAGUAAAUAAAGAUGUCAUCUAAUCGACAUCAAAUGUCAUUUCCCUUAUGAAGGCUUGUUUCUAAUGUCUUCUCCUUUUGUAUCUUGGUGUAAUGGUGUAUAAAUUGAAUUGAAAAGAUGAAUUAUGAAACUUGUCAAGCACAUAGAUUAGAAAAAAAAAGAGCCCCAAAAAAGAAAAAUGAAGCAAGAGCCAUUAUCCACUACAGAUUUGUCUUUCGCCCUUUGGAACAACGUCGCCUCCUCACCGUUGUCUGUUCCAGACGGUGUGGUCCCUUCGGCACACCGCGACGUCCAUCACCGGCCGCGCUGGCUCAGAUUCCCCAACCGCCCCGCCACCGUACGAUCCCCCGAGAAGAUGACGGCAGCGACUCCGACUCCGACGCCCAGAAGAGCCUCCACCUGAAGUAGCGCGUGGCUCGGCGGCAACGUCCUCUGAGGGCAUGGAGCUCGCUUCCUUCUCCCAUCCCCAAAUCAAGCGCAUCCUCAGAUACUUCUGGGAAAAAAAGAUGCGUCUUGGAGGCGGCGCGAUUUUGAGCUUUCAUGGGCUUCGUGGAUAAAAUGAUGUCCAAUAAGAUUCAUUAUCGCUUCUCUGGACCAAGCGGCGUUGGACGCUCGGAUGCUUGCGAAGAGACUGGGACCGGAUGUUCGAGAAGGACAGCGAAGGCAGUUCAAUUUCAUUGUCCUGCGAGAAGUUGAACCUGAGUUGAUGGAUGCUUCAAUUGAGGCCACAGAAGAGGUGACGAUAGCAGGCUGCGAGCUUUAUCGGUAUCAGAGGCCUGGGUUGGUGAAGAUAAUGACAAAGGAGGAGAAGAUUUCUAACGUGAACACGGGGAAGAAGAGGGGGUACCUGGUUUUCAUUUGUUGCUGAAAAUAAAAAUAAAAAUCUGCAUUGCCUACCGCUGCUACUCAGUUUCAUUUGCAUCCUCUUAGAGGAAAACGAGUUCAGCUUGUACGGGCUGCGUGAGGACUCCACGUCCCUAUCAUUGGAAACAGGCUUUGCUGGUUACAAAUCUUUUAAGCAUACACUUAAAAU
RNA transcript from Eucalyptus grandis, 1088 nucleotides. RefSeq lists it as uncharacterized. NCBI's taxonomy places the organism in Eukaryota, Viridiplantae, Streptophyta, Magnoliopsida, Myrtales, Myrtaceae. The record is from RefSeq and is a predicted model, not a curated record. The transcript is spliced from 3 exons.